AGAGUUUGAUCCUGGCUCAGGAUGAACGCUGGCGGCGUGCUUAACACAUGCAAGUCGAGCGAACCUUCGGGUUAGUGGCGGACGGGUGAGUAACGCGUGGGAAUCUGCCCUCAGGAGGGGGAUAACGGCUGGAAACGGCCGCUAAUACCCCAUAUGCCGAGAGGUGAAAAGAAAUUCGCCUGAGGAUGAGCCCGCGUCUGAUUAGCUAGUUGGUGGGGUAAGAGCUCACCAAGGCGACGAUCAGUAGCUGGUCUGAGGGGAUGAUCAGCCACACUGGGACUGAGACACGGCCCAGACUCCUACGGGAGGCAGCAGUGGGGAAUUUUCCGCAAUGGGCGAAAGCCUGACGGAGCAACGCCGCGUGAGGGAUGAAGGCCUCUGGGCUGUAAACCUCUUUUCUCAAGGAAGAAGACAUGACGGUACUUGAGGAAUAAGCCACGGCUAAUUCCGUGCCAGCAGCCGCGGUAAUACGGGAGUGGCAAGCGUUAUCCGGAAUUAUUGGGCGUAAAGCGUCCGCAGGCGGCCCUGUAAGUCUGUCGUUAAAGCGUGGAGCUUAACUCCAUUUAAGCGAUGGAAACUACAGGGCUUGAGUGUGGUAGGGGCAGAGGGAAUUCCCGGUGUAGCGGUGAAAUGCGUAGAUAUCGGGAAGAACACCAGUGGCGAAGGCGCUCUGCUGGGCCAUAACUGACGCUCAUGGACGAAAGCCAGGGGAGCGAAAGGGAUUAGAUACCCCUGUAGUCCUGGCCGUAAACGAUGAACACUAGGUGUCGGGGGAAUCGACCCCCUCGGUGUCGUAGCCAACGCGUUAAGUGUUCCGCCUGGGGAGUACGCACGCAAGUGUGAAACUCAAAGGAAUUGACGGGGGCCCGCACAAGCGGUGGAGUAUGUGGUUUAAUUCGAUGCAACGCGAAGAACCUUACCAGGGUUUGACAUCCUGCGAAUCCCUUGGAAACGAGGGAGUGCCUUCGGGAGCGCAGAGACAGGUGGUGCAUGGCUGUCGUCAGCUCGUUUCGUGAGAUGUUGGGUUAAGUCCCGCAACGAGCGCAACCCACGUCUUUAGUUGCCAGCAUUCAGUUGGGCACUCUAGAGAGACCGCCGGUGAUAAACCGGAGGAAGGUGUGGAUGACGUCAAGUCAUCAUGCCCCUUACAUCCUGGGCUACACACGUACUACAAUGCUACGGACAAAGGGCAGCAAGCUCGCGAGAGUUAGCAAAUCCCAUAAACCGUGGCUCAGUUCAGAUCGUAGGCUGCAACUCGCCUACGUGAAGGAGGAAUCGCUAGUAAUCGCAGGUCAGCAUACUGCGGUGAAUACGUUCCCGGGCCUUGUACACACCGCCCGUCACGCCAUGGAAGUUGGCCAUGCCCGAAGUCGUUACUCC
RNAcentral lists this ribosomal RNA (1380 nucleotides) under metagenome. Its description in RNAcentral is "bacterial SSU rRNA". It matches the Rfam family "Bacterial small subunit ribosomal RNA". The record is from RNAcentral.